RNAcentral lists this ribosomal RNA (156 nucleotides) under Trichomonas vaginalis G3. Its description in RNAcentral is "5.8S ribosomal RNA". It matches the Rfam family "5.8S ribosomal RNA". From Rfam's summary of the family: 5.8S ribosomal RNA (5.8S rRNA) is a component of the large subunit of the eukaryotic ribosome. It is transcribed by RNA polymerase I as part of the 45S precursor that also contains 18S and 28S rRNA. Lineage: Eukaryota; Parabasalia; Trichomonadida; Trichomonadidae. The record is from Rfam by way of RNAcentral.
GUCUAUAAGCAAUGGAUGUCUUGGCUCCUCACACGAUGAAGAACGUGGCAUAAUGUGUUAAGUAACCGGAGUUGCAAACAUCAUGACAGGUUAAUCUUUGAAUGCAAAUUGCGCUAAACUCGAUCUCGGUCGAGAAGCAUGGGUGUGACAGUACAA